AAUCUUUUCAGAUAUUAAUUUAUGUGGUGUUCUCUCUGUAUCUUCUCUUUUUCGAUGUCCCUGACUACCUACCUCUCCCUUUUUCUCCUUUCUCCACCUCCAUUCAAGCUGACCCUUGAUUUCAGCAGUUUGGCUUCAGUGACUUGUGGAGCAUCUGCCUUAAGACAAGUCCCAGAAAAGUGACCCCUGAUCCAAAAUCUCCUGAUCAAUUCAAUGAUGGUCCAUCAAGCUCAGCUGGAGUGCAAUGGCAUGAUCUCAGCUCACUGCAACCUCAGCCUCCCGGAUUCAAGUGAUUCUCCUGCCUCAGCCUCUCAAAUAACUGGGAUUACAGGCACCUGCCACCACACCCAGAUAAUUUUUGUAUUUUUAGUAGAGACAGAUUUCACCAUGUUGGCCAGGCUAGUCUUAAACUCCUGACCUGCCCAUCUUGGCCUCCCAAAGUGCUGGGAUUACAGGCAUGAGCCACCAUGCCUGGCCUAUUUUACAUAUAUUUUAGUAAAUACAGGUAUGCAUUUUGGAGAUAUGUGUAUAUCCUUUAACACAUGAUGCUAAAUAAUUUUCAAAGUGGCAGUCCAUUUACAUCCCCCAAUACUGGAUGACAGUUCCAGUUACUCCAUGUCUUCAUGCAAGUGUCUCCAACCCAGCUUCCUACUCUUCUUGAAUAAACAAUAAACAAUACAAGUGACCAAUAAACACAUGCUCACUAGUAUUGCCAAUCUUUUAAUCUUAGCCAUUCUGGUGGAUGUUGAGGAUUAUUGAUACAUAUGUUUUAAAAUUAGUAUCGUUCUGAAAACUAAAAGUAUGGCUAACACUCCACAACAUCCAUCUUUCUUCCUUCUCCAGAGGUAACCAUAAUCUGAAGUUAGUAUCAUUUCCAGGCAUAUUUUGUCAUUUUUAAAAGGUUUGUAUAUAUAUCUGUAAAUAAUGUAUACAACUGAUUUUUGCUUUACAAUUUUACAUAUAUGGCAUUCCCAUUUGAUUUUUCUUUCACCAAUAUCUCUCCCAAAUUUAAGAAUUACUCCAUAUUGAUACUUGUAAAGUCUAUGAAUUUUAAUUUCUGUAUAGAUAACAUGCAAUUUAUUUCUUUUCCUAAUAGUUGCUUAAAAUUUUUUGCUGUUAAA
RNAcentral lists this long non-coding RNA (1121 nucleotides) under Aotus nancymaae (Ma's night monkey). Its description in RNAcentral is "lncRNA (ENSANAG00000038630.1)". Lineage: Eukaryota; Metazoa; Chordata; Mammalia; Primates; Aotidae. The record is from RNAcentral.